UACGUAGGUGACAAGCGUUGUCCGGAUUUACUGGGCGUAAAGAGCGCGCAGGCGGUCGUUCAAGUCGAGUGUGAAAGCCCCCGGCUCAACUGGGGAGGGUCAUUCGAUACUGAUCGACUCGAAGGCAGGAGAGGGUAGUGGAAUUUACGGUGUAGCGGUGAAAUGCGUAGAUAUCGUAAGGAAGACCAGUGGCGAAGGCGGGUCUCUGGACAGUUCCUGACGCUGAGGCACGAAGGCCAGGGGAGCAAACGGG
RNAcentral lists this ribosomal RNA (253 nucleotides) under uncultured bacterium. RNAcentral's name for it is "partial 16S ribosomal RNA". It matches the Rfam family "Bacterial small subunit ribosomal RNA", at positions 524 to 776 of the family's 1533-position model. The record is from RNAcentral.